RNAcentral lists this ribosomal RNA (492 nucleotides) under uncultured bacterium. RNAcentral describes it as "partial 16S ribosomal RNA". It matches the Rfam family "Bacterial small subunit ribosomal RNA", at positions 29 to 507 of the family's 1533-position model. The record is from RNAcentral.
AGUGAACGCUGGCGGUAGGCCUAACGCAUGCAAGUCGAACGGCAGCACAGUAAGAGCUUGCUCUUACGGGUGGCGAGUGGCGGACGGGUGAGGAAUACAUCGGAAUCUACUUUUUCGUGGGGGAUAACGUAGGGAAACUUACGCUAAUACCGCAUACGACCUACGGGUGAAAGCAGGGGAUCUUCAGACCUUGCGCGAUUGAAUGAGCCGAUGUCGGAUUAGCUAGUUGGCGGGGUAAAGGCCCACCAAGGCGACGAUCCGUAGCUGGUCUGAGAGGAUGAUCAGCCACACUGGAACUGAGACACGGUCCAGACUCCUACGGGAGGCAGCAGUGGGGAAUAUUGGACAAUGGGCGCAAGCCUGAUCCAGCCAUACCGCGUGGGUGAAGAAGGCCUUCGGGUUGUAAAGCCCUUUUGUUGGGAAAGAAAAGCAGCAGGUUAAUACCCCGCUGUUCUGACGGUACCCAAAGAAUAAGCACCGGCUAACUUCGUG